UGCAGUCGAGCGGAUGAAGGGAGCUUGCUCCUGGAUUCAGCGGCGGACGGGUGAGUAAUGCCUAGGAAUCUGCCUGGUAGUGGGGGACAACGUUUCGAAAGGAACGCUAAUACCGCAUACGUCCUACGGGAGAAAGCAGGGGACCUUCGGGCCUUGCGCUAUCAGAUGAGCCUAGGUCGGAUUAGCUAGUUGGUGAGGUAAUGGCUCACCAAGGCGACGAUCCGUAACUGGUCUGAGAGGAUGAUCAGUCACACUGGAACUGAGACACGGUCCAGACUCCUACGGGAGGCAGCAGUGGGGAAUAUUGGACAAUGGGCGAAAGCCUGAUCCAGCCAUGCCGCGUGUGUGAAGAAGGUCUUCGGAUUGUAAAGCACUUUAAGUUGGGAGGAAGGGUUGUAGAUUAAUACUCUGCAAUUUUGACGUUACCGACAGAAUAAGCACCGGCUAACUCUGUGCCAGCAGCCGCGGUAAUACAGAGGGUGCAAGCGUUAAUCGGAAUUACUGGGCGUAAAGCGCGCGUAGGUGGUUUGUUAAGUUGGAUGUGAAAUCCCCGGGCUCAACCUGGGAACUGCAUCCAAAACUGGCAAGCUAGAGUAUGGUAGAGGGUGGUGGAAUUUCCUGUGUAGCGGUGAAAUGCGUAGAUAUAGGAAGGAACACCAGUGGCGAAGGCGACCACCUGGACUGAUACUGACACUGAGGUGC
RNAcentral lists this ribosomal RNA (702 nucleotides) under Pseudomonas koreensis. RNAcentral describes it as "bacterial SSU rRNA". It matches the Rfam family "Bacterial small subunit ribosomal RNA", at positions 56 to 754 of the family's 1533-position model. Lineage: Bacteria; Pseudomonadati; Pseudomonadota; Gammaproteobacteria; Pseudomonadales; Pseudomonadaceae. The record is from RNAcentral.